GCCUACGGCCAUCCCACCCUGGUAACGCCCGAUCUCGUCUGAUCUCGGAAGCUAAGCAGGGUCGGGCCUGGUUAGUACUUGGAUGGGAGACCUCCUGGGAAUACCGGGUGCUGUAGGCA
This 119-nucleotide ribosomal RNA is filed under the name Coturnix japonica (Japanese quail). The record is from RNAcentral. Lineage: Eukaryota; Metazoa; Chordata; Aves; Galliformes; Phasianidae.